This 209-nucleotide long non-coding RNA is filed under the name Elaeis guineensis (African oil palm). RNAcentral's name for it is "long non-coding RNA (EGUI_LNC076336)". The record is from RNAcentral. Lineage: Eukaryota; Viridiplantae; Streptophyta; Magnoliopsida; Arecales; Arecaceae.
UCCGCUACAGAAGUUCGAUCGGAGUCUGGUUCCUAUAGAAGUCUGGAUGGGGAUCAUUUGUUGAGGAAGCUCGGCUGAAGCCUGUCUGCAAUAGAGGUUCGGAAGGAAUUCAUUCAUAAUAGAAGCUUAGGUGGAGGCUUACAGUAGAAAUCCGACGUGGACCGCUCGUAGUAGAAAUUCGAAGUAGACCGCUUGUAGUGGUAGCUCGG